This 213-nucleotide ribosomal RNA is filed under the name uncultured bacterium. RNAcentral describes it as "partial 16S ribosomal RNA". It matches the Rfam family "Bacterial small subunit ribosomal RNA", at positions 28 to 230 of the family's 1533-position model. The record is from RNAcentral.
GACGAACGCUGGCGGCGUGCUUAACACAUGCAAGUCGAGGGCACUUUGGGGGCAACCCUGGAGUGACCGGCGAACGGGUGCGUAACACGUGAGCGACCUUGCCUCGUGGUGGGGGAUAGCCGGCCCAACGGCCGGGUAAUACCGCAUAAGGUGCUUCUCUCGCAUGGGAGGGGUAGCAAAGCUGUCGGGCAACCGAUGGCGCCACAGGGGGGC